Oreochromis niloticus (Nile tilapia) is the source of this 896-nucleotide long non-coding RNA. RefSeq lists it as uncharacterized. NCBI's taxonomy places the organism in Eukaryota, Metazoa, Chordata, Actinopteri, Cichliformes, Cichlidae. The transcript has 3 exons. The record is from RefSeq and is a predicted model, not a curated record.
AACCCAUAUCGUGUUUUAUCGCAGAGGCCAUUUUUGCUGCAUCUCUUCCUCCUGCUCUCUUAUCUAGCUUCUUGUCAACUCUGAACUGUCAUUUCAUAACAAAGCCUAAAAAGCCCAACAGCUGAAAAAGAGCAACGCCUUAAUCAAUUCAGAAACACACCAGUGUAACUUCAUCCCUUUGCAACGCUGCAUCUGGCUGAGCAGCGGUGUAAAACUCCACAUCGAGUCAGACAGUCAAACUGCGCUUUGAGUAGAGCCUCCUAAAAAGCUGCUGUUUGGCUGGAACCAGAGUGGACCCUGUGGCAGGUGCAUCCUCUGCCUACUCAGCUGCUCCGCUUGUGUUCAGAUGAUUAAGAUAGCUGUGAGGAUAUUCACUUUCACUGAGGAAAUGAGCUUUUAUCAUACCAGGCACUUAUGAGGUUUGGCUAGUGGAGCAGUUCUUCUUUCAUCUGUCAGCAGCCAAUAAGCACUACCAGCACACUGACUAGCUAAACAAGGUUGGCUCUCAGUACUCCCUCCUCGCUCUAUGCAGAUUAAUCCCUUUGAUGUCGAACCAGCAGCACAAAGACGAACCGAGUGAGGAAGAGAAGACGCGAGAGGGAGGGGAAAAAUCAGCAACUGGUUUUAAUGAGGACCUGUGUCAGCAAAACAACACGGCCACGCUGCAAACUGACCCAGGAAGACUUUCAAAUAUUAUUCAUAACCUGGGAAUUGUACAUAAAUGGCUGCUAGACUUUGUUGUUGUUGUUGCUGUUGUUAUUCUUGGUAUUAUGUUGUUUAGGGUUUUGGAUGAAAAUCAGACAAGGGCCACAGUCCAGGGGGGAUUUUUUAGAGGAAGAACAGGAAGCUUUUAUUUGGCAAACUGUAGAAUUUUUCCACAAGUCUCAAACCGUGUA